Molecule: ribosomal RNA, 301 nt
Filed under: uncultured bacterium
Lineage: Bacteria
Description: partial 16S ribosomal RNA
Rfam family: Bacterial small subunit ribosomal RNA
Source: RNAcentral
CAGCCGCCGCGGUAAUACAGAGGGUGCGAGCGUUAAUCGGAUUUACUGGGCGUAAAGCGUGCGUAGGCGGCUUUUUAAGUCGGAUGUGAAAUCCCUGAGCUUAACUUAGGAAUUGCAUUCGAUACUGGGAAGCUAGAGUACGGCAGAGGGGGAUGGAAUUCCGCGUGUAGCAGUGAAAUGCGUAGAGAUCUGGAGGAAUACCGAUGGCGAAGGCAGCCAUCUGGCCUAAUACUGACGCUGAGGUACGAAAGCAUGGGGAGCAAACAGGAUUAGAUACCCCCGUAGUCCCUGUCUCUUAUAC